UUGUCGCGUCUGCCGCGAAAAUGCGAGGCUCAACCUCGGGCGUGCGGGGGGUACGGGCAGGAUAGAGUGCGGUAGGGGAGAUAGGAACUCCUGGUGUAGCGGUGAAAUGCGCAGAUAUCAGGAAGAACACCGAUGGCGAAGGCAGGUCUCUGGGCCAUUACUGACACUGAGAAGCGAAAGCAUGGGGAGCGAACAGGAUUAGAUACCCUGGUAGUCCAUGCCGUAAACGUUGGGCACUAGGUGUGGGGGACAUUCCACGUUCUCCGCGCCGUAGCUAACGCAUUAAGUGCCCCGCCUGGGGAGUACGGCCGCAAGGCUAAAACUCAAAGGAAUUGACGGGGGCCCGCACAAGCGGCGGAGCAUGCGGAUUAAUUCGAUGCAACGCGAAGAACCUUACCAAGGCUUGACAUGCACCGGACAGCCCCAGAGAUGGGGUCUUCUUCGGACUGGUGCACAGGUGGUGCAUGGUUGUCGUCAGCUCGUGUCGUGAGAUGUUGGGUUAAGUCCCGCAACGAGCGCAACCCUCGUUCCAUGUUGCCAGCGCGUUAUGGCGGGGACUCAUGGGAGACUGCCGGGGUCAACUCGGAGGAAGGUGGGGACGACGUCAAAUCAUCAUGCCCCUUAUGUCUUGGGCUUCACGCAUGCUACAAUGGCCGGUACAGAGGGUUGCGAUACUGUGAGGUGGAGCGAAUCCCAAAAAGCCGGUCUCAGUUCGGAUUGGGGUCUGCAACUCGACCCCAUGAAGUCGGAGUCGCUAGUAAUCGCAGAUCAGCAACGCUGCGGCGAAUACUUUCCCGGGCCUUGUACACACCGCCCGUCAAGUCACGAAAGUCGGUAACACCCGAAGCCAGUGGCGCAUCCCCUGUGGGUGAGCUGUCGAAGUGGGAUCGGCGAUUGGGACG
Molecule: ribosomal RNA, 902 nt
Filed under: Brachybacterium sp.
Lineage: Bacteria; Bacillati; Actinomycetota; Actinomycetes; Micrococcales; Dermabacteraceae
Description: bacterial SSU rRNA
Rfam family: Bacterial small subunit ribosomal RNA
Source: RNAcentral